UCCUUUUUCUGAUAAGUGAUAGAAAUUAU
RNAcentral lists this non-coding RNA (29 nucleotides) under Rattus norvegicus (Norway rat). Lineage: Eukaryota; Metazoa; Chordata; Mammalia; Rodentia; Muridae. The record is from RNAcentral.